GUAGGUGGCAAGCGUUGUCCGGAAUUAUUGGGCGUAAAGCGCGCGCAGGCGGUUCUUUAAGUCUGAUGUGAAAGCCCACGGCUCAACCGUGGAGGGUCAUUGGAAACUGGAGAACUUGAGUACAGAAGAGGAAAGCGGAAUUCCACGUGUAGCGGUGAAAUGCGUAGAGAUGUGGAGGAACACCAGUGGCGAAGGCGGCUUUCUGGUCUGUAACUGACGCUGAGGCGCGAAAGCGUGGGGAGCAAACAGGAUUAGAUACCCUGGUAGCCACGCCGUAAACGAUGAGUGCUAAGUGUAGGGGGGUUUUCCGCCCCCCUUAGUGCUGCAGCUAACGCAUUAAGCAUCCGCCCUGGGAGUACGGCCGCAAGGCUG
RNAcentral lists this ribosomal RNA (372 nucleotides) under uncultured organism. RNAcentral describes it as "partial 16S ribosomal RNA". It matches the Rfam family "Bacterial small subunit ribosomal RNA", at positions 527 to 896 of the family's 1533-position model. The record is from RNAcentral.